CCGAGGAAAAGAAAUCAACCGAGAUUCCCCCAGUAGCGGCGAGCGAACGGGGAGGAGCCCAGAGCCUGAAUCAGCAUGUGUGUUAGUGGAAGCGUCUGGAAAGGCGCGCGAUACAGGGUGACAGCCCCGUACACAAAAGCGCAUGUGCUGUGAGCUCGAUGAGUAGGGCGGGACACGUGGUAUCCUGUCUGAAUAUGGGGGGACCAUCCUCCAAGGCUAAAUACUCCUGACUGACCGAUAGUGAACCAGUACCGUGAGGGAAAGGCGAAAAGAACCCCGGCGAGGGGAGUGAAAAAGAACCUGAAACCGUGUACGUACAAGCAGUGGGAGCACAGGUUUACCUGUGUGACUGCGUACCUUUUGUAUAAUGGGUCAGCGACUUAUAUUCUGUAGCAAGGUUAACCGUAUAGGGGAGCCGGAGGGAAACCGAGUCUUAACCGGGCGUUAAGUUGCAGGGUAUAGACCCGAAACCCGGUGAUCUAGCCAUGGGCAGGUUGAAGGUUGGGUAACACUAACUGGAGGACCGAACCGACUAAUGUUGA
RNAcentral lists this ribosomal RNA (542 nucleotides) under Salmonella enterica. Its description in RNAcentral is "partial 23S ribosomal RNA". It matches the Rfam family "Bacterial large subunit ribosomal RNA", at positions 211 to 792 of the family's 2925-position model. Lineage: Bacteria; Pseudomonadati; Pseudomonadota; Gammaproteobacteria; Enterobacterales; Enterobacteriaceae. The record is from RNAcentral.